AGGACGAACGCUGGCGGCGUGCUUAACACAUGCAAGUCGAACGGACGAAUGAGAGAAGUUACUUUCUAUGAGUUAGUGGCGGACGGGUGAGUAACACGUGGAUAAUCUACCUGCAACACCGGGAUAACGCUGUGAAAACGGUGCUAAUACCGGAUACCUUCUUGGAAGCGCAUGAUUUUAAGAAGAAAGCUCCGACGGUUGCAGAUGAGUCCGCGGCUGAUUAGCUAGUUGGUGAGGUAACGGCCCACCAAGGCGAUGAUCAGUAGCCGGCCUGAGAGGGUGAACGGCCACACUGGGACUGAGACACGGCCCAGACUCCUACGGGAGGCAGCAGUGGGGAAUCUUCCGCAAUGGGCGAAAGCCCUGACGGAGCAACGCCGCGUGAGUGAAGAAGGCCUUCGGGUUGUAAAGCUCUGUCUUAUGGGACGAAGAAAGUGACGGUACCAUAGGAGGAAGCCACGGCUAACUACGUGCCAGCCGCCGC
Molecule: ribosomal RNA, 484 nt
Filed under: uncultured bacterium
Lineage: Bacteria
Description: bacterial SSU rRNA
Rfam family: Bacterial small subunit ribosomal RNA
Source: RNAcentral